CCUACGGGUGGCAGCAGUGGGGAAUAUUGGACAAUGGGCGAAAGCCUGAUCCAGCCAUGCCGCGUGUGUGAAGAAGGCCUUCGGGUUGUAAAGCACUUUCAGUGGGGAAGAAAGCCUUGGGGCUAAUACCCUCGAGGAAGGACAUCACCCACAGAAGAAGCACCGGCUAACUCCGUGCCAGCAGCCGCGGUAAUACGGAGGGUGCGAGCGUUAAUCGGAAUUACUGGGCGUAAAGCGCGCGUAGGCGGUCUGAUAAGCCGGUUGUGAAAGCCCCGGGCUCAACCUGGGAACGGCAUCCGGAACUGUCAGGCUAGAGUGCAGGAGAGGAAGGGAGAAUUCCCGGUGUAGCGGUGAAAUGCGUAGAGAUCGGGAGGAAUACCAGUGGCGAAGGCGGCCUUCUGGACUGACACUGACGCUGAGGUGCGAAAGCGUGGGUAGCGAACAGGAUUAGAUACCCUAGUAGUC
Molecule: ribosomal RNA, 465 nt
Filed under: Vreelandella stevensii
Lineage: Bacteria; Pseudomonadati; Pseudomonadota; Gammaproteobacteria; Oceanospirillales; Halomonadaceae
Description: partial 16S ribosomal RNA
Rfam family: Bacterial small subunit ribosomal RNA
Source: RNAcentral